This 245-nucleotide ribosomal RNA is filed under the name uncultured bacterium. RNAcentral describes it as "partial 16S ribosomal RNA". It matches the Rfam family "Bacterial small subunit ribosomal RNA", at positions 524 to 769 of the family's 1533-position model. The record is from RNAcentral.
UACGUAGGGUGCAAGCGUUAAUCGGAAUUACUGGGCGUAAGGCGCACGUAGGCGGUUCGUUAAGUCGGAUGUGAAAUCCCCGGGCUCAACCUGGGAACUGCGCUUGUGACUGCAAGGCUAGAGUACGGCAGAGGGGGGUGGAAUUCCACGUGUAGCAGUGAAAUGCGUAGAGAUGUGGAGGAACACCAAUGGCGAAGGCAGCCCCUGGGUCGAUACUGACGCUCAUGCACGAAAGCGUGGGUAGC